GUCGAGAAUAAUUCACAAUGGGGGCAACCCUGAUGGUGCAACGCCGCGUGGAGGAUGAAGGUCUUCGGAUUGUAAACUCCUGUCAUCCGGGAGCAAGACCUGGCCGUGAAUAGCGGACAGGGUUGAUAGUACCGGAAGAGGAAGGGACGGCUAACUUCGUGCCAGCAGCCGCGGUAAUACGAAGGUCCCGAGCGUUGUCCGGAAUCACUGGGCGUAAAGGGAGCGUAGGCGGCGCGGUAAGUCAGAUGUGAAAUCCUAGGGCUCAACCCUGGAACUGCAUCCGAUACUGCUGUGCUUGAGCAAUGGAGAGGUAGCCGGAAUUCUCGGUGUAGCAGUGAAAUGCGUAGAUAUCGAGAGGAACACUCGUGGCGAAAGCGGGCUACUGGACAUUUGCUGACGCUGAGGCUCGAAGGCCGGGGGAGCGAAAGGGAUUAGAUACCCCUGUAGUCC
RNAcentral lists this ribosomal RNA (450 nucleotides) under uncultured bacterium. RNAcentral's name for it is "partial 16S ribosomal RNA". It matches the Rfam family "Bacterial small subunit ribosomal RNA", at positions 354 to 796 of the family's 1533-position model. The record is from RNAcentral.